GGAAUUUUGGACAAUGGGGGCAACCCUGAUCCAGCCAUUCCGCGUGAGUGAAGAAGGCCUUCGGGUUGUAAAGCUCUUUCGGACGGAACGAAACGGUUAGGACCAAUACUCCUGACUAAUGACGGUACCGUAAGAAGAAGCACCGGCUAACUACGUGCCAGCAGCCGCGGUAAUACGUAGGGAGCGAGCGUUAAUCGGAAUUACUGGGCGUAAAGCGUGCGCAGGCGGUUAUUUAAGACAGGUGUGAAAUCCCCGGGCUUAACCUGGGAAUGGCGCUUGUGACUGGAUAGCUAGAGUGCGGCAGAGGGGGGUGGAAUUCCACGUGUAGCAGUGAAAUGCGUAGAGAUGUGGAGGAACACCGAUGGCGAAGGCAGCCCCCUGGGCCAGCACUGACGCACAUGCACGAAAGCGUGGGGAGCAAAC
RNAcentral lists this ribosomal RNA (423 nucleotides) under uncultured bacterium. Its description in RNAcentral is "bacterial SSU rRNA". It matches the Rfam family "Bacterial small subunit ribosomal RNA", at positions 358 to 773 of the family's 1533-position model. The record is from RNAcentral.